UGGUGAACCAGCGGAGGGAUCAUUCCCGAGUUUACAACUCCCAAACCCCUGUGAACAUACCUAUUUGUCGCCUCGGCGGUGCCUGUUCCGACAGCCCGCCAGAGGACCCCAAACCCUGAUUACAUUUAAGAAGUCUUCUGAGUAAACCGAUUAAAUAAAUCAAAACUUUCAACAACGGAUCUCUUGGUUCUGG
Molecule: unclassified non-coding RNA, 193 nt
Filed under: uncultured fungus
Lineage: Eukaryota; Fungi
Description: partial contains 18S rRNA, ITS1 and 5.8S rRNA
Source: RNAcentral